GACGAACGCUGGCGGCGUGCCUAAUACAUGCAAGUAGAACGCUGAAGGAGGAGCUUGCUCUUCUGGAUGAGUUGCGAACGGGUGAGUAACGCGUAGGUAACCUGCCUGGUAGCGGGGGAUAACUAUUGGAAACGAUAGCUAAUACCGCAUAACAGUAGAUGUCGCAUGACAUUUGCUUAAAAGGUGCAAUUGCAUCACUACCAGAUGGACCUGCGUUGUAUUAGCUAGUUGGUGAGGUAACGGCUCACCAAGGCAACGAUACAUAGCCGACCUGAGAGGGUGAUCGGCCACACUGGGACUGAGACACGGCCCAGACUCCUACGGGAGGCAGCAGUAGGGAAUCUUCGGCAAUGGACGGAAGUCUGACCGAGCAACGCCGCGUGAGUGAAGAAGGUUUUCGGAUCGUAAAGCUCUGUUGUAAGAGAAGAACGAGUGUGAGAGUGGAAAGUUCACGCUGUGACGGUAUCUACCA
RNAcentral lists this ribosomal RNA (472 nucleotides) under Streptococcus sp. oral taxon 064. RNAcentral's name for it is "bacterial SSU rRNA". It matches the Rfam family "Bacterial small subunit ribosomal RNA", at positions 28 to 485 of the family's 1533-position model. The record is from RNAcentral. Lineage: Bacteria; Bacillati; Bacillota; Bacilli; Lactobacillales; Streptococcaceae.